Molecule: ribosomal RNA, 528 nt
Filed under: uncultured bacterium
Lineage: Bacteria
Description: bacterial SSU rRNA
Rfam family: Bacterial small subunit ribosomal RNA
Source: RNAcentral
AAUAGAUCCCGGGUAGUCCACGCCGUAAACGAUGAGUGCUAAGUGUUAGAGGGUUUCCGCCCUUUAGUGCUGCAGCUAACGCAUUAAGCACUCCGCCUGGGGAGUACGGCCGCAAGGCUGAAACUCAAAGGAAUUGACGGGGGCCCGCACAAGCGGUGGAGCAUGUGGUUUAAUUCGAAGCAACGCGAAGAACCUUACCAGGUCUUGACAUCCUCUGCCACUCCUAGAGAUAGGACGUUCCCCUUCGGGGGACAGAGUGACAGGUGGUGCAUGGUUGUUGUCAGCUCGUGUCGUGAGAUGUUGGGUUAAGUCCCGCAACGAGCGCAACCCUUGAUCUUAGUUGCCAGCAUUCAGUUGGGCACUCUAAGGUGACUGCCGGUGACAAACCGGAGGAAGGUGGGGAUGACGUCAAAUCAUCAUGCCCCUUAUGACCUGGGCUACACACGUGCUACAAUGGAUGGUACAAAGAGCUGCGAACCCGCGAGGGUAAGCCAAUCUCAUAAAGCCAUUCUCAGUUCGGAUUGUAGG